Helianthus annuus (common sunflower) is the source of this 767-nucleotide long non-coding RNA. RefSeq lists it as uncharacterized. The transcript has 5 exons. The record is from RefSeq and is a predicted model, not a curated record. NCBI's taxonomy places the organism in Eukaryota, Viridiplantae, Streptophyta, Magnoliopsida, Asterales, Asteraceae.
GCUUCAUCCCCAAAACUAAAGCUCUUUUUGUUUUCCCAUUCCCAAAAUCUCUCCUAAAUCACAUUUAUAAACGGCACAUAGGGUUUCUCGGAUUCUUUUCUCUACAAUCGGCGAGUUAGCAAGAAGAAUGUGGGUCGUUCAUCACCAUCUCUUCAUCGAUGUCUGACUCAAGAGCUUGUGGAAACACUACUAGAAAAAAUUUGGAUUUCCUAUCUUGGUUUAAAAAAGCGUGCCUAGGCACGAGGCGACCCAAGGCGCCAACCAAAUCGCGUUGUGUGACACAAGGCGUACGAUGUACAAAAGGCGCAGGUGAGGCGCGUUUUUUAGCCUAAAAAUUGACUUGAGGCGCAGGUGAGGCGCGCACCUUAUGUACAUGGUGUUGACUGAAGAUAGCAAAGACGCCGAUAAAACAUGUCAGGCAACACAUAACUUCUUAAGGAAUACCUAUCAAGGUUAAUUUGUCACAAGGAAACUUAGUUCAGAUAAGAAAGUGGACAUAGCACAGACCCUACACAAUCUCAGUGAAGGAACCAUCAUUUGAUUCAUACCUUGAUCGAUGUGAAGAUGCAUAAACAUGAACAAGAUUAAUACGUUGUAGGAUGGGGCUUUUAUCAUAUCAUGGAAGUUUGCUUAAAGAUGAUCAGUUUUUGCCCGUUAUGACAAAAAUUAUAUAUUGUUUAGUAUGAAUGUGAAGGUUACACUGUGAAUCAAAUGAUGUUCAUAUAUUUGGGUAACUUUUACAAAUUAGUGACUUUUUCCAAGUGUUA